Molecule: long non-coding RNA, 199 nt
Filed under: Elaeis guineensis (African oil palm)
Lineage: Eukaryota; Viridiplantae; Streptophyta; Magnoliopsida; Arecales; Arecaceae
Description: long non-coding RNA (EGUI_LNC046306)
Source: RNAcentral
UUGGAUAAUAGACUUUGGUUCUAGUGUACACUUGUGCACUUCAAUGUAGGAUCUUAAAGAAUAUAGAAGGUUGGGGCUAGGAGAGAUGACUCUACGGUAAUGGAGCAAGAGUUACUAUUGUGGCCAUGGAGACCUAUUCUUUUCGACUACCAUUUGAUUUUUAUCUAAAACUAAGGGAUUGUUACUGUGUGCCUAAUAC